CAAUAGCGUAUAUCUGCAACGAUCCUGUGUGGCAUUAGGUUGUCGUGCAGGGGAGACCCAUCAUUUACUGUGAAAAAAUUAGAGUGUUCAAAGCAGGCUUAUGCCGCUGAAUAUAUUAGCAUGGGAUAAUGAGAUAGGACCUUGGUACUAUUUUGUUGGUUUGUGCACCGAGGUAAUGAUUAAUAGGGACAGUUGUGGGUAUUCGUAUUCCAUUGUCAGAGGUGAAAUUCUUGGAUUUCUGGAAGACGAACGAAUGCGAAAGCAUUUACCAAGGAUGUUUUCAUUA
RNAcentral lists this ribosomal RNA (286 nucleotides) under uncultured eukaryote. RNAcentral describes it as "partial 18S ribosomal RNA". It matches the Rfam family "Eukaryotic small subunit ribosomal RNA", at positions 688 to 975 of the family's 1831-position model. The record is from RNAcentral.